AGAGACAGCAGCAGCCGCGGGAAUACGUAGGUCCCGAGCGUUGUCCGGAUUUAUUGGGCGUAAAGCGAGCGCAGGCGGUUAGAUAAGUCUGAAGUUAAAGGCUGUGGCUUAACCAUAGUACGCUUUGGAAACUGUUUAACUUGAGUGCAAGAGGGGAGAGUGGAAUUCCAUGUGUAGCGGUGAAAUGCGUAGAUAUAUGGAGGAACACCGGUGGCGAAAGCGGCUCUCUGGCUUGUAACUGACGCUGAGGCUCGAAAGCGUGGGGAGCAAACAGGAUUAGAUACCCCCGUAGUCCCUGUCUCUUAUACC
Molecule: ribosomal RNA, 309 nt
Filed under: uncultured bacterium
Lineage: Bacteria
Description: partial 16S ribosomal RNA
Rfam family: Bacterial small subunit ribosomal RNA
Source: RNAcentral